UACGGGGGGGGCAAGCGUUGUUCGGAAUUACUGGGCGUAAAGGGCGCGUAGGCGGCCUUCUAAGUCAGACGUGAAAUCCCUCGGCUUAACCGGGGAACUGCGUCUGAUACUGGAUGGCUUGAGUUUGGGAGAGGGAUGCGGAAUUCCAGGUGUAGCGGUGAAAUGCGUAGAUAUCUGGAGGAACACCGGUGGCGAAGGCGGCAUCCUGGACCAACACUGACGCUGAGGAGCGAAAGCCAGGGGAGCAAACGGG
This 253-nucleotide ribosomal RNA is filed under the name uncultured bacterium. RNAcentral's name for it is "partial 16S ribosomal RNA". It matches the Rfam family "Bacterial small subunit ribosomal RNA", at positions 524 to 776 of the family's 1533-position model. The record is from RNAcentral.